GACGAACGCUGGCGGCGUGCUUAACACAUGCAAGUCGAACGCUGAACCCGCUUCGGUGGGGGAUGAUUGGCGCACGGGUGAGUAACACGUGGGCAACCUGCCCCCGGCUCUGGGAUAACUCCAAGAAAUUGGGGCUAAUACCGGAUGUGACCGCUGGCCGCAUGGUCUGGUGGUGGAAAGGGUUUCCGGCUGGGGAUGGGCCCGCGGCCUAUCAGCUUGUUGGUGGGGUAGUGGCCUACCAAGGCGACGACGGGUAGCCGGCCUGAGAGGGUGACCGGCCACACUGGGACUGAGACACGGCCCAGACUCCUACGGGAGGCAGCAGUGGGGAAUAUUGCGCAAUGGGCGGAAGCCUGACGCAGCGACGCCGCGUGGGGGAUGACGGCCUUCGGGUUGUAAACCUCUUUCAGCAGGGACGAAGCGCAAGUGACGGUACCUGCAGAAGAAGCACCGGCCAACUACGUG
Molecule: ribosomal RNA, 465 nt
Filed under: uncultured bacterium
Lineage: Bacteria
Description: partial 16S ribosomal RNA
Rfam family: Bacterial small subunit ribosomal RNA
Source: RNAcentral